CUCCCAUCAUGUGACCUGCGGCGUUCGCGGGCAGGAGGUGGGAGAUUCUCGUGGGAUUGGAGGGGGAGGACUGUGGGGGGAGCAAGAAACACUGGGUGCA
Molecule: long non-coding RNA, 100 nt
Organism: Lepidothrix coronata (blue-crowned manakin)
Lineage: Eukaryota; Metazoa; Chordata; Aves; Passeriformes; Pipridae
Exons: 3
Source: RefSeq, a predicted model, not a curated record